Non-coding RNA from Acanthosepion pharaonis, 102 nucleotides. The record is from the annotation of a GenBank genome assembly. Lineage: Eukaryota; Metazoa; Mollusca; Cephalopoda; Sepiida; Sepiidae.
UACGGUUACAUCAAGUUGAAAAACCGGUUCUCGUAUGAUCACAAAAGUUAAGAAAUGUUGAGCCAGUUCAGUACCUAGAUGCGAGAACCCUUGGGAAUAACG